Molecule: non-coding RNA, 955 nt
Filed under: Sardinella longiceps (Indian oil sardine)
Lineage: Eukaryota; Metazoa; Chordata; Actinopteri; Clupeiformes; Clupeidae
Description: 12S ribosomal RNA
Rfam family: Bacterial small subunit ribosomal RNA
Source: RNAcentral
CAAAGGUUUGGUCCUGACUUUAUUAUCAGCUUUAACCAAUUUACCCAUGCAAGCUCCCGCAAUUCCCGUGAGGAUGCCUUCAAUCCCCGUCCGGGGACGAGGAAGCCGGUAUCAGGCACAAAUAUAGCCCAAGACCGCCUUGCUUAGCCACACCCCCAAGGGAAUUCAAGCAGUGAUAAACAUUGAGCCAUAAGUGAAAACUUGACUUAGUCAGGGUUAAGAGGACCGGUUAAACUCGUGCCAGCCACCGCGGUUAUACGAGAGGCCCAAGUUGAUAAGCCCGGCGUAAAGAGUGGUUUAUGGAACCCCGCCCCCACUAAAGCUAAAGAGCCCCUAAGCUGUUAUACGCACUUGGAAGCUUGAACCCCUGACACGAAAGUAGCUUUAUCUUCUCCUGAACCCACGAUAGCUGGGGCACAAACUGGGAUUAGAAACCCCACUAUGCCCUGCCGUAAACUUAGAUAUUUAGUCACAACAAAUAUCCGCCUGGGGACUACGAGCGUUAGCUUAAAAACCAAAGGACUUGGCGGUGCUUCAGACCCCCCUAGAGGAGCCUGUUCUAGAACCGAUAACCCCCGUUCAACCUCACUAUUCCUUGCUUUUCCCGCCUAUAUACCGCCGUCGCCAGCUUACCCUGUGAAGGUAUUACAGUAAGCAAAACGGGCAUUGCCCAGAACGUCAGGUCGAGGUGUAGCGUACGGAGUAGGAAGAAAUGGGCUACAUUAUCUGAAACAGAUUAUUCACGGAGGGUCACCUGAAACGGCGACCCGAAGGUGGAUUUAGCAGUAAGGGGAGAAUAGAGCGCCCCCCUGAAGCCGGCUCUGAAGCGCGCACACACCGCCCGUCACUCUCCCCAACAGCAUAACAACUAGUUAUUUGACCCAAAUAACAGCUACAAAGGGGAGGCCAACUCCCGUAACAUGGUAAGUGUACCGGAAGGUGCGCUUGGAAUAAC